Molecule: ribosomal RNA, 253 nt
Filed under: uncultured bacterium
Lineage: Bacteria
Description: partial 16S ribosomal RNA
Rfam family: Bacterial small subunit ribosomal RNA
Source: RNAcentral
UACAGAGGGUGCAAGCGUUAAUCGGAAUUACUGGGCGUAAAGCGUGCGUAGGUGGACGUUUAAGUCGAAUGUGAAAGCCCCGGGCUCAACCUGGGAACUGCAUCCGAGACUGGACAUCUAGAGUAUGGUAGAGGAAAGUGGAAUUCCCGGUGUAGCGGUGAAAUGCGUAGAUAUGACAUAGAACACCAAUUGCGAAGGCAGCUGGCUACACAUAUAUUGACACUGAGGCACGAAGGCGUGGGGAUCAAACAGG